Molecule: long non-coding RNA, 199 nt
Organism: Mauremys mutica (yellowpond turtle)
Lineage: Eukaryota; Metazoa; Chordata; Testudines; Geoemydidae
Exons: 3
Source: RefSeq, a predicted model, not a curated record
AGACAUGAACAGUCCUCAGCUUUCUGCAUUCUGGAUAACUGGCUAUGAUCACACAUCAGAGUCUACUGUCCUCAUGCGAUGGAAAGUGAGUGAGAGCAGCGAGCCUGUGAGCAUUGUUCAUGCCAGGCAACAGCCGUCAAUGUGGGGGUCGAGCAGACGCCACUUUUGCAGAGGAAUCGUCCAGGAGCCCCAGCCGGAU